GUUCUGGUAGCUUAGGGGUAGAGGAACCGGCUGUAGUCCGGUAGGUUAGGCGUUCAAAUCGCCUCCGGAACU
Molecule: transfer RNA, 72 nt
Filed under: Lasiosphaeria miniovina
Lineage: Eukaryota; Fungi; Ascomycota; Sordariomycetes; Sordariales; Lasiosphaeriaceae
Rfam family: tRNA
About the family: Transfer RNA (tRNA) molecules are approximately 80 nucleotides in length.
Source: Rfam by way of RNAcentral